AGUUUUGCACAGUGGCAGUAUCAUAGCCAAUGAGGUUUAUCUGAGGCGCGAUUAUUGCUAAUUGAAGUCAAGAAACAAAUUGUAAAUGGUUGGAAGCAAUUCUGGUAG
RNAcentral lists this small nuclear RNA (108 nucleotides) under Oryctolagus cuniculus (rabbit). RNAcentral describes it as "U4 spliceosomal RNA". It matches the Rfam family "U4 spliceosomal RNA". From Rfam's summary of the family: U4 small nuclear RNA (U4 snRNA) is a component of the major U2-dependent spliceosome. The structure of U4 snRNA from yeast and human has been reported. The record is from Rfam by way of RNAcentral. Lineage: Eukaryota; Metazoa; Chordata; Mammalia; Lagomorpha; Leporidae.